Molecule: ribosomal RNA, 388 nt
Filed under: Pseudocalanus sp.
Lineage: Eukaryota; Metazoa; Arthropoda; Copepoda; Calanoida; Clausocalanidae
Description: partial small subunit ribosomal RNA
Rfam family: Eukaryotic small subunit ribosomal RNA
Source: RNAcentral
AUUCCAGCUCCAAUAGCGUAUAUUAAAGUUGUUGUGGUUAAAAAGCUCGUAGUUGGAUCUCGGCGGUCUGAGGGCGGUUCGCUUCAGAGCGCUACUGCCCUAUAGACCGUAGUUUUGCCAGAGGUCUCAGGGUGCUCUUAACCGAGUGUCUUGCGAUGCUGGCAGGUUUACUUUGAAAAAAUUAGAGUGUUCAAAGCAGGCGUCGGCUUGAAUACAUUAGCAUGGAAUAAUGGAAUAGGACUUUGGUUCUAUUUUGUUGGUUUCUAGGACCGAAGUAAUGAUUAAUAGGGACAGUUGGGGGCAUUCGUAUUUCAUUGUCAGAGGUGAAAUUCUUGGAUUUAUGAAAGACGAACUUCUGCGAAAGCAUUUGCCAAGGAUGUUUUCAUCA